Molecule: non-coding RNA, 475 nt
Organism: Arachis ipaensis
Lineage: Eukaryota; Viridiplantae; Streptophyta; Magnoliopsida; Fabales; Fabaceae
Source: RefSeq, a predicted model, not a curated record
UUCAAAAAAAAAAACCGUACCUCAGGACGGCGAGGGAAGAGCUUCAAAGACGGGAACGAUGGGAGGAGCCGAGGAGGUGGAGGUUGCGCCGGCGAUGAUGAACACGAUGAUCAGGUGACAAGAGGGGAUCCGUCUGAGGAAAAAAACGUUGAGAAUUUCCUCGAAGAAGAGGGAAUUCAGGAGACUAUCAAGUCUAAGAUUUUGUAGAUCAUCAAAGGAAUGGGUUAGUUAAUCAACAUUCACCUUCCUUUUGGCUCAAGUUAAUAUAUUUGAUUUAAGGGUAAUAUCAGAAAAAUCCUCUGCCAUGGGAACCAACUUUUUUGUUGACGAGAUCCUGUGUUGUUGGUUGACCCUAUUGAUGUUGAAGCACUACUUCCAAAGAAACAUAGACAAAGAGAGCUUUUAGUUUUGGGUUUUGGGUAUUCCAGGUUUGUUAUGAUUUUGGUUUUGGCCAUGGAAGAUAAUUAGCAAGCAU